Molecule: small nucleolar RNA, 132 nt
Organism: Arvicanthis niloticus (Nile rat)
Lineage: Eukaryota; Metazoa; Chordata; Mammalia; Rodentia; Muridae
Product: small nucleolar RNA SNORA17
Source: RefSeq, a predicted model, not a curated record
CCUGCCACUAGAGGAGUUUCAGGUGUGGCUGCUAUGUCACAUGUGUAUCAGUAGGUGGCAGAGAGGAGAGAGGUUAUGUCUUUGCUCAGUGUUCUGACCUGUGAACUUGUGAAUGAUUAAUAGCUUAACACU